Molecule: microRNA precursor, 113 nt
Filed under: Olea europaea subsp. europaea
Lineage: Eukaryota; Viridiplantae; Streptophyta; Magnoliopsida; Lamiales; Oleaceae
Source: RNAcentral
GUGGUCGAGAUGGGGAAGACAGGCACAUGAAAGACUAACUCGUUUAUCGAGCUUCAUUGACAAGCUGUGCAUGAGUUAGUAAUGCACGUGCCCUGCUUCUCCAUCUUGCUCAA